This 73-nucleotide transfer RNA is filed under the name Trichonephila clavata. It matches the Rfam family "tRNA". From Rfam's summary of the family: Transfer RNA (tRNA) molecules are approximately 80 nucleotides in length. Their secondary structure includes four short double-helical elements and three loops (D, anti-codon, and T loops). Lineage: Eukaryota; Metazoa; Arthropoda; Arachnida; Araneae; Nephilidae. The record is from Rfam by way of RNAcentral.
GUCCCUGCAGCGCAAUGGAUAGCGCGUUGGACUUCUAAUUUAAAGGUUGGGGGUUCGAAUCCCUCCUGGGAUG